UACGGAGGGUGCAAGCGUUAUCCGGAUUCACUGGGUUUAAAGCGUGUGUAGGCGGCUCUGCAAGUCGGAUGUGAAAGCCCCGGGCUCAACCUGGGAAGUGCACUCGAAACUGCUGAGCUUGAGUAUCGGAGAGGUUAGUGGAACGGUCGGUGGAGAGGUGAAAUUCGUAGAUAGCGAUCAGAACACCAGUGGCGAAGGCGGCUCACUGGCCCGGUACUGACGCUGAGGUGCGAAAGCGUGGGGAGCAAACAGG
This 253-nucleotide ribosomal RNA is filed under the name uncultured bacterium. Its description in RNAcentral is "partial 16S ribosomal RNA". It matches the Rfam family "Bacterial small subunit ribosomal RNA", at positions 524 to 776 of the family's 1533-position model. The record is from RNAcentral.